RNAcentral lists this ribosomal RNA (914 nucleotides) under uncultured marine bacterium. RNAcentral's name for it is "bacterial SSU rRNA". It matches the Rfam family "Bacterial small subunit ribosomal RNA", at positions 62 to 1022 of the family's 1533-position model. The record is from RNAcentral.
UCGAACGAAGUAGCAAUACUUAGUGGCAGACGGGUGAGUAACAUGUAGGUAUCUACCCUUUGGCCUGGAAUAACACGAGGAAACUAGUGCUAAUACCGGAUAAGUCUUUACGGAGAAAGCUUUAUGCACCAUUGGAUGAGCCUGCACUUGAUUAGUUUGUUGGUGGGGUAAUGGCCUACCAAGACUUUGAUCAAUAGCUGAUUUGAGAGGAUGAUCAGCCACAUUGGGACUGAGACACGGCCCAAACUCCUACGGGAGGCAGCAGUGGGGAAUCUUGCACAAUGGAGGAAACUCUGAUGCAGCGAUGCCGCGUGAGUGAAGAAGGCCCUUGGGUUGUAAAGCUCUUUCGUCGGGGAAGAAAAUGACUGUACCCGAAUAAGAAGGCCCGGCUAACUUCGUGCCAGCAGCCGCGGUAAUACGAAGGGACCUAGCGUAGUUCGGAAUUACUGGGCUUAAAGAGUUCGUAGGUGGUUGAAAAAGUUGGUGGUGAAAUCCCAGAGCUUAACUCUGGAACUGCCAUCAAAACUUUUCAGCUAGAGUUUGAUAGAGGAAAGCAGAAUUUCUAGUGUAGAGGUGAAAUUCGUAGAUAUUAGAAAGAAUACCGAUUGCGAAGGCAGCUUUCUGGAUCAUUACUGACACUGAGGAACGAAAGCAUGGGUAGCGAAGAGGAUUAGAUACCCUCGUAGUCCAUGCCGUAAGCGAUGUGUGUUAGACGUUGGAAAUUUAUUUUCAGUGUCGCAGCGAAAGCGAUAAACACACCGCCUGGAGAGUACGACCGCAAGGUUAAAACUCAAAUGAAUUGACGGGGACCCGCACAAGUAGUGGAGCAUGUGGUUUAAUUCGAAGAUACGCGCAGAACCUUACCAACACUUGACAUGUUCGUCGCGACUUUAAGAGAUUAAAGUUUUCGGUUC